This 29-nucleotide transfer RNA is filed under the name Viola odorata. RNAcentral's name for it is "partial tRNA-Thr". RNAcentral also lists the same sequence under 4 other names. The record is from RNAcentral. Lineage: Eukaryota; Viridiplantae; Streptophyta; Magnoliopsida; Malpighiales; Violaceae.
CGAUGCUCUAACCUCUGAGCUAAGCGGGC